This is a long non-coding RNA of Phyllopteryx taeniolatus (common seadragon), 487 nucleotides long. RefSeq lists it as uncharacterized. The transcript has 2 exons. NCBI's taxonomy places the organism in Eukaryota, Metazoa, Chordata, Actinopteri, Syngnathiformes, Syngnathidae. The record is from RefSeq and is a predicted model, not a curated record.
UCGUUUAACAUACAAUGGAAAAUUAUUUUCAAGCUUGUCGGGUAUCAGCAUUGUCAUGCAGGCCGAGUGCCAUCAUUUUAUGCACCUUUUUUAAAAUUACUUGUGUCAAUUACAUGAUGGAUUUUUCUUUCUUCGUCAGGGUAUCAACACAUUUCUUCCACAUUUGUACUUAAAUGGCAGGAAUAUUUUGCUCCAGGAACUAACUACCACAGUUACUGAUCCUUUUCUACAAUUAAGGUAGAUGCAUCAUCAAAUUGAUACAGAGAGUCGUUCUUCUGUUCCGUCUCUCUGUGGUUGCGCGCUGGUGGGCGGGCCGACACUUGCCCGUUUGCUUUUGCGCUGCUAAGUCACAUGACGGCACAACAUGGAAACACGAGAGGGGGGAGGAGGAGCAAAGGACCGCUACUGACUUGGUAUCGAUACUGACGAUGUUUGGAUCGAUCUGCUCACUGCUAAAAAUGAAUAAAUAAAAAUGAAGGUUGGGAAA